CGAUGCGAUCAUACCAGCACUAAAGCACCGGAUCCCAUCAGAACUCCGAAGUUAAGCGUGCUUGGGCGAGAGUAGUACUAGGAUGGGUGACCUCCUGGGAGGUCCUCGUGUUGCAUUCC
This 119-nucleotide ribosomal RNA is filed under the name Triticum aestivum (bread wheat). The record is from RNAcentral. Lineage: Eukaryota; Viridiplantae; Streptophyta; Magnoliopsida; Poales; Poaceae.